AAAAGUUUAAUUUGUAUGCAGUUGGAACAGCGCCCCUAGCGCCAAACGUAGGCAAACGUUCCAACUCCAUACAAAUUUGAGUUA
Molecule: microRNA precursor, 84 nt
Filed under: Bombyx mori (domestic silkworm)
Lineage: Eukaryota; Metazoa; Arthropoda; Insecta; Lepidoptera; Bombycidae
Description: mir-2807 microRNA precursor family
Rfam family: mir-2807 microRNA precursor family
Source: Rfam by way of RNAcentral